RNAcentral lists this ribosomal RNA (367 nucleotides) under uncultured bacterium. Its description in RNAcentral is "bacterial SSU rRNA". It matches the Rfam family "Bacterial small subunit ribosomal RNA", at positions 1 to 334 of the family's 1533-position model. The record is from RNAcentral.
CUAGCCGACUUCAGAGUUUGAUCCUGGCUCAGGACGAACGCUGGCGGCGUGCCUAACACAUGCAAGUCGAACGGAGAUAAACGCUGAUUUGACGGUAGCUUGCUAUUUGAUUUUCUUGUUUAUCUUAGUGGCGGACGGGCGAGUAACGCGUGAGUAACCUGCCCUUCAGAGGGGAACAACAGCCGGAAACAGCUGCUAAUACCGCAUAAUGUCACGAGGCCGCAUGACCUUGUGACCAAAGAUUUUAUCGCUGAAGGAUGGACUCGCGUCCGAUUAGAUAGUUGGUGGGGUAACGGCCUACCAAGUCGACGAUCGGUAGCCGAACUGAGAGGUUGAUCGGCCGCAUUGGGACUGAGACACGGCCCAG